UUUCAGAUUGGAUGUCUGUAGCAGCUUAAAGCUGGAGGGAACCGAAGGAUGGCGGGGUCAUAUCCAGCAUGGACCAAAGUAUGGAGGGUGGACUGCUGAAGUGCUCUUGAGCAAGGAGUACCUUGAAAGUCUUAAAAAACCACAACAAGACCAUGCUGGAAUAUGUCAUGCUGCCUUUGCCAACACUUUCAAUCCAAGUGUUUUAAAAGAAGUGACAACAACAUCAAGCCAACGAGAAUGACUGUAUUGUACAGGUCAUCUUGGAGAAUGAGGAAGAGGCAGAGGAAGAAGAGGAAAGAGGAGAAGGACAGGAGACCAAGACAGUAAAUGAGACACAGAAGUAGUGAUUGAUUGAAUAAAAAGGCCUUGAGUGCUAUUUUAAGAGAAGGCAAAAAUUGUGUAUGUGGUGCAGUCCAACGUCUACUUUUACCUCAGAAAUGUUUUUUUUUUCUUUCUUGUCUGAAAAUGUGUAAGUCAUCAUUUUAUAUGCUUAAACUGGGAUCCAUGAAUGCUGGAUGAUGGCUUUAUCCAGCACUAUUACUACUAACACAUCACUUUUGUUUUGUAAAGGUUUUUCCACACAGUCCUCAAAUCUCAAGUACAUGAAAGAUUUAACAAAAAAUCCAAGUAUUUUUGAAAGUAAAUCAGAUGGAGCACAUAUUCUUCUCUCUUUAUUAUAGCCCUUCUGACGAAAAAUAUCACGUUGCUCAUAGAACAAACAGAGAAGAGAAGAGAAGAGAUAUUACAUUAUUAAUAAGAGUAUCAUUAUGGCUGCUUAACAAUGCAGCGUUCAUAAAAGGGCCUGAGUCAUUACUGUCUGACUCCCAUGAAAAAGACAUUGUUAAUCACCCUACAGUAUGGCUCUUACUGCCACAGCUUGUGUGUAAUUGUAUGUCCAACGGGUUACAAAAUUCAUAUUUUAUUUAUAUCAUCACUCAGAAAUUAUAAACUUGAGAUAAAUAAGAAAGUUCUCUCAGCCAGCAUGUCUUUGCUUCAAGCAUCAAUAGUUACAUGAGAUUAGGAUAUAGUCAGGUGAGAUUGAGAUAAAGGUUCAACAUCUCAUUUAUUGUAACACAUAAAGUUGCUUUACACGAGGCCUGCAGUCACAACUGUCAGUGAAAGACAAGCACUUGCUCUCUAUGAGGCAUGAUGGUGUAAAGGAAAGAAAAUAUGAAAGGAAAAAGACAGAAAGCGGUGCCUUAAUCACUCUCAUUCCCUCUCUCUCCUUCUGUUUCUGUAUGCCUUCAGAGAUGCUUUAGUCACUAUAAUCCGCUGAGCGUUGCUUUAAUCACAUCUUCGUGGGUCUCCACUUUUUAAUUAAGGCCCGUGUUUCAGCUCAUUUCACUGCGCAUAUUUAGCGAGCCGGUGGGAUGCCGAGGCAUUCAUCAGAAGGAUAGUCUGACAGAACAGCAUCAGGCCGUUCCUGAGCAUGGAUUUUAAAGACACUGAUUGGGUUUUGAACCAAGGGAAGAUGAAGGCACACACACACACACACACACACACGAUUACAGACACAAAAAGAUCACUGCAUAUCCUGUUAUUUUAAAUAUAUUUCCACAGGAUACAUAUGCAUUGACUAAAGGAGUAAAGGGCACCUCUGACUCUUGGCUCUUUUAAACAAGCCAAUUAAACAUUCUCUUCAAAUAAC
Molecule: long non-coding RNA, 1648 nt
Organism: Larimichthys crocea (large yellow croaker)
Lineage: Eukaryota; Metazoa; Chordata; Actinopteri; Sciaenidae
Exons: 3
Source: RefSeq, a predicted model, not a curated record